UUUUUUCUUUCUUUUUUUUUUUUUUGGUUUUUAGGGCCACAUGUGUGGCAUAUGGAAGUUCCGAGGCUAGGGGCUUAAUCGGAGCUGCAGCUGCUAGACCUACACCACAGCCACAGCAAUGCUGGAUCCUUAACCGACUAAGGGAGGCCAGGGACUGAAGCCACAUCCUCAUGGAUACUAGUUGGGUUCAUUAUCGCUUAGCCACAAAGGGAACUCCAAUAAGCUGUAUUAAAAUUUUUAAUUACCAUGAGGUUGCAGGUUCGAUCCCUGGCCUCAGUUGCCGUGAGCUGUGGUGUAGGAAAUUAAGUGUGGAUUAGGAUAAUUAAAUGUAAAGUCUCCUUGAGAGCGACUUCUGUCCCUGUAGACUAGAGCCAUUUCUUUCGUAUCACAGAAAACCUGUGAAGAGGAUUUGCCAAGGCAUCACAGCCUUUCUACUUUCACAUCAGGUCUGCAAACGCUAUGAUCUAAAAGGAACAGAGCAAUGAUUUGGGGAGAGAAUUAAAUCCUAUGGCUUAUCAGAGAAAACCACUCCAUUCUCUAGUCUUUGCAAAAGUUCACAUGCUCGUGUAACUGUAAUAUGCUUAGGGGUUUCCAAAAAUUACAUACAUUUCCUCAAAAGAGAUAUAGGAAAAAAUAUAAUCACGGGGUAAAGGCCAAAUAUUGUCUCUUCUGAAUGCUUAAGUAGCCAAUUAUGUGUCUUAAUACAUUAAUUCUGUCGAGAGAAAGAGACUAUUACAGGAAAGUUGAGUAAGACAUCUUCAAAAAAAAUGUACCCUGGGGCCUAAGUCCAUUCAGCUGACGGAAAAUCACCCCCUCAAAAAAGCAGUGUUAUACAAAAUCUAGUAUUUUAAUUUCCUGGCUGCCAAGAGAAGCAUAUAAGGAGCAGAAAUUAAACUAAUUAUGUCAGCAGCACAGUGAACAAAACUUUAAUUCUAUUACACACUAGUUUGACAUUUGCCGAAGAAUACAAAGGCCCUUAAGGGUAGAAACUUCUUUAGAAUAUAAAUGAUUCCCAAUCGAUAUGACAAAAAUUAGUCUGGGCAAUAAACAGAGUCACGGUUUACAAGGGAAAAUUCAGCCAGCAUCCCUAAUUCAGAAUUAAAAAAAAAAAAAAAUUUAAAGUAGAGUAUGAGAAACAAAUCUCUACAACGGCUUUAAUCUCUCCGUGAUUUCCAUAUGUUGUACCAUUAAUAGGUCCUUUAAGCCAGUAUUGUACUAAUCAGCUUUUUUAACAUCUAGCUCACAAAAGAGCCUAUUCAUUUAGCUGGGAGACAGGUGUUAGCAACCAGCAACCUCUCUUAGCCUUGGGUUCCAGGGGCCUGGUCGGUGAUGACUGCAGCAUGAUUGGCGAGUGGAAAGGGAGGCGAGAAGGAAAGAGAAACAAAAGCACCCGGGGCAGAGGCGGGGGGAAGAGAUAAGGGAAAAAAGAGACGUCAGGUGCUACUUCAAGGGGCCACCCUCAAAGCCUGGUGGCCUGAUCUGAGCUCCCGGGCCCAGAUCCUUGAGGCAGAAUUGGGAAAAUGUCUUUAAUUUAUUCCUGCAGACAGUAAUUCUGACACUCCACGCGUUGAAAAAAAUGUUUUCAAAUGCCCCAUGACUCAUUCCUCUUACCCAUCUUCUCUACUUCUUCACUUUAGUCCUCACUCUCUCAUACGUUUUCUAAAAAAGCUGACUGAGUAGAUAUUCCUGGAAAGAGAUAAAGACCAGGCCGGAUUUAGAAAGACAUCUUAAGCCUACGGAAUAAAAAACCCUAGGAGAAAGGGGGAGACGAGAACAUCCAUUGAGUUCCGCACAGCGUACAAAGAACAGAUUUUCUCUUUUCAUCCACAGAACAAUGCUACCAGGUAUUAUUUUCAUCUGGCAGAUGAAGAAAAUGAAGCCCACAGAGAUUCAGUAAAAGGGUCUAAAGUAGCAUAGGCAGGAGGUGGGAUUCAAAUACAGUGGGAUUCAAAACUACGUUUAUCUAUUUCCUGAACUGUUACUUUCCCCAAGUUUAAUUCCCUAACUAGUAUUUCGAGCUCCCAUUCUGCUUUAAAUCAGACGGUUCUAUAGUUCAGCAGUUUUUCUGCCUUCCAAGAACUCAGCCCAAGACCUGUGACUAAAUUGUAUUGCCUAUUAAGCAUCCAUUAUUUCCAAUAAGCGCAUCAGCUAUGGAGAAAUGAAACAUCUGGCAAGUUGGCUGUAUUUUUCAAAUCCUACCUACAGAGAAUUCCCAGGCAGCUCUCCUAGCCAACACGGAUCAGAACGAGAUUUGAUGACCCAUUCGGACCUCCAGUGGUUUCCACAUUAUCAUUCAUUUGUCCACUCAGGAAAUAAAGGAAGCUACUUUCACCAACCCUCCCUCAUGACUCGUGAUAGAUAAUACAGCAGAGGGGGCCUCUCGGUAAAGUAAUUUACAUACAAGUUAUAAAAGCUCUUUGUUAUCUGUCAUGACUAGGAAAUGGGCUAUUCUAGCAAAUCAAGCAUCCUGAAUAACAUAAUGAUGCUUUUAAAGGGACUACCAAUUUAUAAAGAAUUUCAAGGCAGUACAACAGUGGCUCCCAAACCCGGCGGCAAAUCAGAAUCACUUGGGGAGCUUUGUGGACGUAGAUGCCUAGAGUGGCUUUUAAAAUGCAGAUGCUUUGUCAUCACUUAUCCACUCAAAAAAAGAAGACUCCAGGAGGUGGAGCUGGGAAAUCUGUAUUUUUAAUGGACCCUUCAGUAACUCAGUUGCAAACUGCUAGGUAUGGAAUCUUUUAAGGAGUGGCUGGCUUUGGAGAACUCCUUGCAAUACAACACACUAAAAAAGCUAAAGCUGCAUGAAUACAAUGUGACCUUCUUUUGAUGAUUCAGGAGACUUCAGGAUCUCCCAAUGCCACUAGUUCAUCUCUCACUACUAGUAACUAGUCACUAUGCUGACAAAACCAGAAGGGACGAAAAGUUUAAGAUGAUUUCAUAUUAGGAAAACGUAAGCUGGUUUUUCCAGCUUUUUACCAUCAGAUUUUUUUUUUAAGAGCUGUUUUUUCCCCAGAGUAAACUCGGAUUGAAUGCUUGCCUUGAAAAAGGAAAAUGUUUAAAAACAGGCAGAUUCUCUUAACCAAUUCAAAACGUUAACAGACCCAGAUGCCUCAAAAACGUAGAAUAUUCAACCUGAGCUAGGCAAAGAGGAGAACUUAAUGAAGAUAAAGGAGGAUAAUAGGUUUAAGCUAAGAAUGGCAUCACAGGAUUCGAUAAAACCACUGUCCCAGGCCUGGGACAACUGAUAAAUCCUGGAAACUGGGAGAGGGGAGAUCUUUCAAUACCUAAGGCCGAUGAUUCCGACCUAUCUAGGCUGGCUUUGAUGUGAGAUAGAAUAGGAUAUCCUAUUAAGAGCCCAAUUGGUCUUCGGAUUUUAAAACCAAAUACAUAAUACAAAGUCACAAAACAAGAAAGCAAAUCUGUGUGUUUGGAUACAAAAAUAUUGCCCUUAUUACUGCCAGAAUCAUUCUUAUAUAAACACAACUACUACCAAUAAUCAGUAACCAAACAAAAAUAGUAACUAGGAACCAUUACCAAACCAGUAACCAUUACCAAACAAUAACAGGAUGCAGCUCGUCCCUUGAAACUUCACCAACAGCAGUUUAAACUAUGCAUUCUCAUUAAACUCUAAAUUAUAACUCCGGGAGUUCCCUGGUGGCCUAGCGGUUAAAGAUCCCGGGUUGUCACUACAGUGGCGAGGGUUCGAUCCCUGGCCCGGGAACUUCCAUAUGACGCUCAUGGGAAAAAAAGAAAUAACUUCAACAGGGGUACUGCAGGGAUUUUGAGAUUUCAAGAUGGAGAGUUUAUAUAUCUUUUCCCCCAAAUAUAAACACUACAGCCAGUACCAGUUUAAUAUAAAAGUCUCUAAUCUACCUUUAAAACAACAGCAGUAUUAAAGGUUCUAUUUUAAGAAUGAAAAAUCAAGGUGGAAUUAGUCCCCCUCACACUCCUUAGGUUUAUGUAGGUGUUUUCAUCAAGUCCUGGGCACAACACUCUUACAGAUGGAAGUGGCUCUUAUUAAACAUCACAAUGGACAUGUACUUAAGAGAAGAAACUCUGCCCUAUUUGUUAUUGUGGCUGUUUGUUUUGUCUUUUUCGGUGCUAGUAACUGCAAAAUGCUUUUUCCACAAUUUUAAGAGUCCUUAAAGAAGCAUUCCUGUUAGAUGGUGCUAAGAGUUCAACUGGCUUGGCCAUGAGAAAGUUGGAAAGCAAAUUAAUUUCUAACCUGAGAACGGCUUUGUUUUUGUGGGUAUUAUUUUAGUAAUUGGUUAAAUUAAGUCAAUUUAGAAGAUUUACAACCCUUGAUCGCACCCAAAGGAUAACAGCUGUCUUCCUGAUCAAUACGCAAGUUUUUAAUGGGCUGAUCUUCCUAAGUAAAUAGACAUUAAAAUGUGUGUGUCCUAGGUUACAUGGAAAUUUUCUUCUUGCACAAUCAAUUUAUCAGUUAGCCCUGCCACAACAACCUGCAAUUGCUGUACACGGUUUUCAAACUUAAGAAAAAUAAUACUUCUAAGUAAACUGUAAUUUUUGACUUGUACUCUGAAGUUCAGGAUUAUUAGGAAACAGACCGUGAAGUUUCAGAGAUGCCUGCUAUCAUCUGUUGCCUUGAAUGCGCAAAAGAAGGCAAUCAGGAAAAAAGGAUAAAAAGUUGUCAAACCUGAAAUGCUCUGAAUGAAAAGAAUUAUUACUGCUAGCUCCCACCCUAGAAUUCUGAAUACAAACUCACCCCAGCACCAUGUCCCCUGCUUACUCUCAUUCCUAGAAACAUAUUUCAGUAAGUAGACAGCCUUAGCGACAUUUCAUUUCAGUAACUUGAACUGUCGCUGAGAAAACCACAACUGCUCCCCAAACGGUUGCACGACAAGGGUGACAGGAAGUCUCUGUCCCCCAAACCACCUGUGAAAGGGAGGAACUUACUUCCUUAGAAGGCCACAUGGACCUGGGGAUGUUUGUGCUCCAGGCUACUGUGGCCUUUAGCCGGGGUGCAAAGCGGCAAUUGUGGGUAAAGCCUUAUUUCCAAGCUGACAACUCUUCUUCCCUGGGGUAGGCUGGGAGAACAUGGUACCCUCUUCCCUGAUUACACAAGCAGGCUUUCCCCUAGAGCAAAUGACAGACCAACAAAAAGGCGUGAAAAUAUACUGUGGUUUCUAUCUUCUGCCAGCCUGAAGUCAAGCUCUGAGCAGAGAGAAGCCUGCGACGCUCUGGCACCCCGGGUCUAGCAUACUGCCCCGUGCCUGGUCAAAUGUCUCAUGGGCAGCCAGCUGCAGAGAGGCCCCACUUCCCUCUGCAUCUUAGCUACUGGCGACCUCACACACACUACCUCAAAUGAACAGAAGACAACUCCCAGAAGAGGGACCACAGGACCCUGGGCGGGGCGGGGGACUCCUCUAAGAGGAGAGAACCACAUCCCCAAACUUCUCCAUCAAGCCUCCAAACUCCAGCCGCCUCCUUCCACGAUGCUCGCAGGGCUCCCGCACCAAGAAGCAGGGUCAGGCUAGUUCCUUUAAAUGAAGACGCAGGCCGCCCGGUACCUGACUCAGUUUCCACCGCUGUAAAGCAGCAUCUUUCCCCCACAAGCCAACUGAAUCUGCCGACGCGAGGGCAUUUGGAGAUAUUUGAGGAUACACGUCUGAGUUACUGCCUCCCGCAGGUGAAAUGCUUCCUUUGAAGAGGCUUUUAAUGGGACAGGUGCGGGCUACCUUGAAUGCGCAGACUUUCAGCGAGGCAGGGCUUCCCCCAUCCCCUGUAGGCAGGGAGAGUCCCAGGCCGCGCCCCGCACAGAAGAGGCGCCCCCGGACCACAGUUUGGUGAGACCCGAGGCCAAGCAGCGGCCCCCACCCCGGCCUCACGCAGGACCCCACCCCAGACCGGGCGCACCGCGAAUCCCAGCCCCACCGCCUCCUCACCUGCCGAGGCCGCCUGUCCGGCCCGCACCUGGGAGGGGAGGGGAGGGGCCGGAUCCGGGCC
RNAcentral lists this long non-coding RNA (5964 nucleotides) under Sus scrofa (pig). RNAcentral describes it as "lncRNA (ENSSSCG00060014490.1)". The record is from RNAcentral. Lineage: Eukaryota; Metazoa; Chordata; Mammalia; Artiodactyla; Suidae.